RNAcentral lists this ribosomal RNA (489 nucleotides) under uncultured bacterium. Its description in RNAcentral is "partial 16S ribosomal RNA". It matches the Rfam family "Bacterial small subunit ribosomal RNA", at positions 28 to 507 of the family's 1533-position model. The record is from RNAcentral.
GAUGAACGCUAGCGGCAGGCUUAAUACAUGCAAGUCGAGGGGCAGCAGGACUGUAGCAAUACAGUUGCUGGCGACCGGCAAACGGGGGCGGAACACGUACGCAACCUACCCAAAACUGGGGGAUAGCCCGGGGAAACCCGGAUUAAUACCUCGUAACCUUUUUAAGUGGCAUCACUUGAUAAUUAUAGCUCCGGCGGUUUUGGAUGGGCGUGCGCCUGGUUAGGUGGUUGGUGCGGGUAACGGCCCACCAAGCCUGCUAUCAGUAACUGGUGGGAGAGCCAGACAAGUCACAAGGGAACUGCGACACGGGCCCGAAUACUACGGGAGGCAGCAGUAAGGAAUACUGGGCACGGGACGCAAGUCUGAACCAGCCAUGCCGCGUGAAGGAUGAAGGUCCUCUGGAUUGUAAACUUCUUUUAUGGGGGACGAAACCCGGAUAUUCUUAUCCGAUUGACGGUACCUCAGGAAUAAGCACCGGCUAACUCCGUG